Molecule: long non-coding RNA, 990 nt
Organism: Magallana angulata
Lineage: Eukaryota; Metazoa; Mollusca; Bivalvia; Ostreida; Ostreidae
Exons: 3
Source: RefSeq, a predicted model, not a curated record
ACAUGCCAACUAUCCCGAUUUUUGCGGGAUUCUCCCGAUUUCACGUCGUCAAAAAUACAAAUCCCGAUAUCCCGAUCGGGAUUGUCAAAAUACCCCGAAAUCCCGAUUCUCAAAAAAUCCAACCCGUUUUACGACAAUACGGUCUUGUAAGUCCCGAUUUCCAUCAAAAAUUUCAAAUCCCGCGCUGCUUGUCUACGCUAACCAAUCAAAAAGCGGGAUUAUGACCGCCAUUGCUGUUUACCUGUAUCGCGUGUGUGUAUAUCGGGAUGUGUGAAUUGGUGUAAUUACCUGUACGCUACCUGUGUCUGGGUGUUUGCAAACCUAAUGAGGAGCAUGUUUUGAUAGUAAUUAAUCGGGAAAUAUCGGGAUGGAUAGCAAAAUGCCACACUUUUUACACAAACUUCGACAAGAAUGGGGUUACACUACCAAAGAAAACGAAACUUUCAUCCUGAUAUCAGGAGGUAGAUUCCCGAUUUUCGGGAUGACUAUCGGGAUCGUAAUUGGAUGACAACCAUGUAUAUCGCCGUGCAAUAGGGAUUUUAGGGUAGACCAUGGUGGAAUGAAUGAUGUUACAAAGAACACGAAAACAGCCAUCCAUCAAGCCACAUGCUGCUACCAACUUCUUUGUGAAAUCAAAAUUGGAGGAAGAUGAAGAUGUCACAAGAGCAGAGGUCCUGUUUGCCAACUGCGUUGCAGAAUUUAGUGCUUUUUGAACUGCUAUACCAUACUAUUUAUUGUUUGUUGAGAUUUUAAAAUUGAUUUAAUAAAGAUUGAUUUAAUAUAUGAAAAUAAAGUUAUGUACUUUAUUUAUGUUUUCAUUUGAAAGAGGAGAUUGUUUGAAAAACACAUUAGGAUAGUGAUAAAUAUAUGAAGAAACAGAUGAAUUUCUAAGUAUACAAAGCAAUUACACGACAAAAUGCCGCGAAAUUUCCUUCUAGGAAAAUGUCGUCGCGCGUAAAAUCCCCCAUGGAGAUUUUCAAAAGUUGGCAU